Molecule: ribosomal RNA, 433 nt
Filed under: uncultured bacterium
Lineage: Bacteria
Description: partial 16S ribosomal RNA
Rfam family: Bacterial small subunit ribosomal RNA
Source: RNAcentral
AACGAACGCUUCCUUCCUUCCUAACACAUUCAAUUCGAACGAGACCUUCGGGUCUAGUUGCUCACGGGUGCGUAACGCGUGGGAACCUGCCCUUAGGUUCGGAAUAACUCCCCGAAAGGGGUGCUAAUACCGGAUAAUGUCUUCGGACCAAAGAUUUAUCGCCUUUGGAUGGGCCCGCGUUGGAUUAGCUAGUUGGUAGGGUAAAAGCCUACCAAGGCGACGAUCCAUAGCUGGUCUGAGAGGAUGAUCAGCCACACUGGGACUGAGACACGGCCCAGACUCCUACGGGAGGCAGCAGUGGGGAAUAUUGGACAAUGGGCGAAAGCCUGAUCCAGCAAUGCCGCGUGAGGGAGGAAGGAAUUAGGGUUGUAAAGCUCUUUUACCCGGGAUGAUAAUGACAGUACCGGGAGAAUAAGCUAAGGAUAAAUCCGGG